UACGUAGGGGGCAAGCGUUGUCCGGAGUUACUGGGCGUAAAGGGCCCGCAGGCGGUCGUGUAAGUUUGUACUGACAAUCCCGUGCUUAACGCGGGAGGGUGUAUGAAAACUGCACGACUUGAGGAUGAGAGAGGGACAGGGAAUUCCGGGUGUAGUGGUGAAAUGCGUAGAGAUCCGGAGGAACCCCAGAGGCGAAGGCGGCGCCCUGGCUCGC
Molecule: ribosomal RNA, 214 nt
Filed under: uncultured prokaryote
Description: partial 16S ribosomal RNA
Rfam family: Bacterial small subunit ribosomal RNA
Source: RNAcentral